This 6095-nucleotide long non-coding RNA is filed under the name Homo sapiens (human). Its description in RNAcentral is "HSALNT0375455". The record is from RNAcentral. Lineage: Eukaryota; Metazoa; Chordata; Mammalia; Primates; Hominidae.
CCGCCCCCGCAACCGGAGGACGAAGUUGGCGGCGUCUCAGCCUCCUGCUGCUGCGAGUCGCGGUGGAACUGCACUUCUAGGGCCGACAGCUUCUCCCUCCCGCUCGGGCCCCGCGCGGCAACGGCCGCCCGAAGGCCUCCGGCCCCCUCCUUUUCCGAGCGCAUGCCGCACUCUCCGCCGAGCCGCAGCCGCCAGCCCCCGACGAAACCUCGCGAGAGCUCGGCCGCCCCAGCCCCGCCCCUCCUCGAGCCGCGGCGGUCGGGGCCGCCCACGAAGGGGUCAGGCGCUGCGGGACUAGUCGGGGUCGGGGUGGUGACCUCCGGCCACACAGCCUGGCUUUCCGCCGGGUCAGGCGGCCCCUCAGGGAGCGGCGGCCGCGGUUUAGGGCGGCCCCGGAAGCGGGGCGCCGGCGGCUUUGGUCCGGGCGUGGUGGGAGGAGUUCGCGGACAAGCCGCCCUCCCAUCCCAGCACCGUUUUUAUCCCACUCCCCCAGGCUCUCCGUGGCCGGGGCGCCAUGAAAGCCGGGUUCACAUUUGAAUUCUUAAUUUUUUUGGAGACAGUCUCGCUCUGUCGCCCAGACCGGAGUGCAGUGGCGCGAUCUCGGCUCACUGCAGCCUCUGCCUCAGCCUCCUGAGUGGCUGGGACCUACAGGCACGCGCCACCACCCCUGGCUAAUUUUUUUGUUUUUUUAAAGUAGAGACGGGGUUUCACCUUGUUGGCCAGGAUGGUCUCGGUAACUCCUGACCUCAAGUGAUCCGCCCACCUCGGCCUCCCAAAGUGCUGGGAUUACAGGCAUGAGCCACCGCUCCGGGCCCUUGCACAUAUUUUUUUAUGAACACACAGGCAGCAGCACUUUGAUUACAGUAACUUACAUGGAAGUUAUUUUAAAAUGGCUUUCCCCUUCUCUUUUUCAUGUAGGCUGCAUUUUUCAUCUGCAGCACGCUUUCUCUCAAGAAUCUCAAGCACACACAAGAAACCAGAGAGUAAAAUCACUGAGGCGUGAACACAUCCAGAGACCAAGGGCGUCACUGGCAGAAAAGCUUUUAGGCGGAUCCACGGCCCGAGAGCCACCCUGCCCAGAGACGCGGUUUCCUAGGAGCAGUUCACACGCGGCUCUGCAGCACCCACAAGCGGGGCCAGGGGCUGGUUUUCAUAGUUCACAGUCUGCAGGGAUCUUAACAAAAACAUGGCCGUGGUAAAAGUGCCUAGACCAGGCUUUCGUCACAACUCAGUGAGUAGGAAGACUAGUUAGGCUGAUGAAAAGCUCUGAUGAUGUGUGAUUAAAAGUAGGAAAACGUGGUUGCCAAAUAAAAUAUUUUACUAUAUAGUCAGGGGGAGAGAUGGGGAUAAAAAAAUGUGGAAACCAUUUAUUUUAAAAUUUUGACUGUUCCUGCAGUGUUUAAAAUAUAGGAGAUAUAUUCUGAUUAUCUUUAGAAAGAAACUGCUCUCAAUCUAUUUGUAUGUCUUCCCUCUGGUUUUAAAAUAUUAAACAAUCAUCUAACUCAAUAUUUAAUUUUACCUCUAGUCAUGUUACUAGGUUAGGAUAAUAAAAAGGACUGUGAACUUCACAUCUGCCAUCUAUAAUAGAUUCUUAUUGUAGCAAUCUUGCACCAAGGGGAUUUCUUUAUUAACUCUGCCAAAUUUUCCAAAAUUACCAAAUGGAGAAAAGAGCUGGUCCCAUCUGUCACCAGGCACAACCAGUUUGGAACCAAAACUGCAGUGUCCCCAAGGCAUGCCUGUAGGUAAACAUGAGUCCAUACUGAUAAAUGAUCGAAUAAACAGGAGAGAAGAAACAAAUCUUCAAGAAGAAUAACAUGCACAGAUACUGCUCUCUCCAGGGGUUGGAGCUGAAACCUCCUCAACCCACAGAGUAUGGAAAGGGAAAAACAGGAACUUGACAGUGGAGAAAUCUGGCAGACACCACUGUGACCAGGUGGCCAAGGUCAGCACUGCCUGGGAUAGGUCGUGUGGUGGUUACAACCACCCAGUAGGAUGUGAUGAGAAAGGUGCUUGAGAAACACAUCAAACUCCAAUUGAGGGACAUUCUACAGACUACCUGGCCAGUACUCCUCAAAACUGUCAAGGUCAUGAGAAACAAGGGAAGUCUGAGAAACUGUCACAGGCAAGAGAACGCAAAGGAGAUGGGAUGACUAAAUGCAGUAUGUGCCUGGAUGGGACUCUGGGACAGAAAGCAGACAUUACGGAAAAACUGGUGAAAUCCAAAUCAAGGCUGGAUUUUAGUGAAUGGACACUAACAAUGUUGGUUUCUUAGUCAUGACAAAUGUACCAUGGGAAGAGAAGAGGUUACCAAUGGGGGAAACUAGGUGAGGGGCACACAUAAGCUCUCUGUACUAUCUCUGCCAUUUUUCUGUAAAUCAAAAAUUAGUCCAAAAUAAAAGUUUAUUGGAAAAGAAAAAAAAAGACAUAACAGAUGGUUUACCUUCUUUAUUCCACUAUGUAUAACUAUUUUGUAGGUUCAGAGAAUCAGAACACAUCUGUUGCAAAGGUGUGCGAUCCAGUCUCUUAAGGCGGGUCUCUGUUCCUAAAUGUAGAGAUGCAGUUUGGAGUCACGUUAGGAAGUGGGACAUUCUUAAGCCAUGGAGAGGAUGUGAAGGAAUACUAACCUACACUGGGACAGUGGGACCAGGACCACUGACUGGAGUCACGUGCUGUGGUCUGACAUAGAUGUCUCUAACAUCAUGUCACUUUCAUUCAUUUCAAUUUCAAAGGUUUCUUCCAAGGAAGGUCUGGAAUCUGGAGUUUUCCUUGAGGUUUCCAAUGGCGUAAGCCCCGUUUCUUCUGCAGUCUGUUUUUCUACUUCAAAUUCCCUGAAAUCCCACGGAGGUGAAAUAAUGUUUUUUAGUGUCUUCAUUGUAUGCACAUCAAAGUCAUAACAUUUUAAUUUGUCUUUAAUGUCUGCUCCUAAAAAGAAAUACUAUAAUUAGAAUAAAAUAAGAAAUUCCAUCACUUAUCAUUUCUAUUGUUAUAUAACACCAUCUCUUAUCAUUUAAGUCAGAUUAUACUAUUUAGAAUAAAAUACAAAACUCCAUCAUUUAUCAUUUCCAUCAUUAUACACCAUCUCUAUCAUUUAAGUCAAAUUAUACUUUUAAGAGCACAAGUUGAGAGCAGAAGGAAAACAACAUUCCAAUCUUCUUUUUCAUUUGUUUUCCACCAUUUGCAAAGGAAGUGUCAGAAGACUUUCAGAAGCACAUGCAGUUGCAGCUCCAGUGUUUCAACAGUUGCCCAUUUCCAAGGCCUCCUAAAUACGUAUGAGGCCUGUGGACAACUUUCUCCUCAGCUGUUACAGGUAAGAACUGCACUGUGUGGCCAGGCGCGGUGGCUCACACCUAUAAUCCCAGCACUUUGGGAGGCCGAGGCGGGCAGAUCACAAGGUCAGGAGAUCGAGACCAUCCUGGCUAACACGGUGAAACCCAGUCUCUACUAAAAAAAAAAAUACAAAAAAAUUAGCCGGGCAUGGUGGCGGGUGCCUGUAGUCCCAGCUACUCAGGAGGCUGAGGCAGGAGAAUGGCAUGAACCCAGGAGAUGGAGCUUGCAGUGAGCCGAGAUAGUGCCACUGCACUCCAGCCUGGGCAACAGAGUGAGAUUCCAUCUCAAAAAAAAAGAACUGUGCUGUGCCCAUUGGGUAUAGUCACCAAUCUUAUGCAUAAAAAAGCCACGAUGAAAUAAAAUCCAUUUCCCAUAUAUUAAAACCUUAAGGGUAAUAUAGAUUUGAACAGAUCUGAACAGAUGUAUUAGGUACAAUCAUUCGACAUAAACAAAAUGAGUUUUACACAGUUCAAACCAAUAGCUUUCAGAAAUAGGUAGUUUGGCAGAUAAUGACAUGCAAACUUUCUAAAAAUAAAAAUGACAUGAAUGGUAAAUCUUGGCCGGGCGCGAUGGCUCACGCCUGUAAUCCCAGCACUUUGGGAGGCCGAGGCGGGUGGAUCACGAGGUCAGGAGAUCGAGACCAUCCUGGCUAAUGUGGUGAAACCCCGUCUCUACUAAAAAUACAAAAAAUUAGCCGGGCAUAGUGGCGGGCGCCUGUAGUCCCAGCUACUUGGGAGGCUGAGGCAGGAGAAUGGCGUGAACCUGGGAGGCAGAGCUUGCAGUGAGCCAGGAUUGCACCACUGCACUCCAGCCUGGGUGACAGAGAGAGACUGUGUCUCAAAAAAAAAAAAAAAAAAAAAAAAAGGUAAAUCUCUUCUGCGAGGUCAAGGAGACAUCCCUCUGACUCAUUAUCAACUCUCUAGCCUUUAUUUAGCUUCCUAUGAACUUCCCACCCUUGAACAAAUGAGGAAACUAAGGCUCAGACUUGCCUUUCUUGCCACAGGGCUGCCGAGGGGCAGAGCUGAGGCUUCAACCUAGCAUCUCUCAGAAACCAGAGCUUAAAUUUGUUUUUUAAAAUUGAGCUAAAACCAAGAGUCAAGUGUGAAUCCCCUUAAGCACAUGGCUGAAUGAACCCUAUGUACAUGCAUCCCAGAUGACUACCGCCAGAAUGGCACAGAACACAUGCAGCUCCUUAAGACCCUGUGCCCACUCCUGGUCAAUACUGUCAGCUUUCCCAAGCCUGAGAUAAGCACUUCUUGGACUUUUCUAUCGCUACCAAUUAGUUUUGUUCAUUACUAAUUGACAUGGUUUGGAUCUGUGUCCCACCAAAUCUCAGGGUGAACCGUAAUCCUCAAUGUUGGAGGUGGGGCCUGGUAGGAGGUGACUGGAUCAUGGGGGUGGUUUCUCCUGAAUGGUUUAGUACCAUCCUCUUGGUGCUGUUCUCGUGAUAGUGAGUUCUGGUUGUUUAAAGUAUGUAGCACCUCCUCCCUUUCUCAAUCCCUCCUGUUCCGGAUAUGUCAAGUGCUGGCUCCCCACUUAGCCUUCUGCCAUGAUUUCAAGUUUCCUGAGGCCUCCCCGGAAGCCAAGCAGAUGCCAGCAUCAUACUUCCUAUAUAGCCUGCAGAACUGUGAGCCAAUUACAUUUCUUUUCUUAUAAAUUACCCAGGCUCAGGUAUUUCUUUACAGCAAUGCGAGAAUGAACUAAUACACUAAUCUUCCUAUAAAUGGAAGUAAUUAGUACAUAUUCACAUUUUUGUCAAAAAUCUGUGAAAUUUGUUGGGCGUGGUGGCUCACGCCUAUAAUCCCAGCACUUUCGGAGACUGAGGCGGGCGGAUCACCCGAGGUCAGGAGUUCGAGACCAGCCUGGCCAACAUGGUGAAACCCCAUCUCUACUAAAAAUACAAAAAAUUAGCUAGGUGUGGUGGCAUGCGCCUGUAAUCCCAGCUACUCAGGAGGCUGAGGCAGGAGAAUUGCUUGAACCCAGGAGGCAGAGGUUGCAGUAAGCCGAGAUGGCGCCCCUGCACUCCAGCCUGGGUGACUGAGUGAAACUCCAUCUCAGAAAAAAUAAUAAAAAAUAAAAAAAUCUGUGAAACUGAUGCAUGUUUCUAAAUGAUUCAGUAGUCUUUCAAAUAAUAUAGUAUUCUAUUGUAUGAACAUACCACAAUUUAUUUCUCCUCUCUCCUACUGGUGGACGUUUGAGUCAUUUCCAGUUAGGUGCUGUAAUGAAUAAAGCUAUGAAUACUCUUGUUUGUGACCUUUAGUGGACAGAAGCACUUGCUUCCACUGGGCUCAUACCUGGGAGUAGAACUGCUACAUCACAAAAUCAGUAUGGUCAAUCAUCACCCUAAUACCCACCCCAAUGAAUCACACCUCCCAGCACCCUCACCCUGGUACAGCCCCCUCCCACAUUGACUCUGAGCUUAUGAGACUUGUACUGAUGGAACAGAACGUGACGGAAGUGAUGUUGUGCAACUCUGAAUUUUCAAGAGGUCCUGAACUGUGGUUCUUGUCCUUUAGAACCCUGGGAACAUCGUGCUACAAAGAAACCUAAGAUGAAAGCCCCACAGAGAGAGACUCAGCACCCAAGCUGAGCUCCCUACUGGAGAAUGGUACCAUUUUAGACCAUCUACCCAGUCAAGUAUCUGCUGACCACAGCUGCAUGAGUAAACCUAGACAAGACCCACAAAUGGGUCACUCAACCCACAGAAUUGUAAAAAUAACACGUUGUUGGUUGAGGUUUUGGAGUGGUUAGGCAGCAAUAGAGAGCUG